RNAcentral lists this long non-coding RNA (269 nucleotides) under Chinchilla lanigera (long-tailed chinchilla). RNAcentral describes it as "lncRNA (ENSCLAG00000022886.1)". Lineage: Eukaryota; Metazoa; Chordata; Mammalia; Rodentia; Chinchillidae. The record is from RNAcentral.
AAGGAAUUGCGCUUACUGCUAAUGCUGCACACAUUAUUAUCCCAUAUUCAGUGGGAAGAAAACAAACUGAACCUGUGCUCAAAAAGUACAUUUUUCAAAGUGUAUCAGAGCCCUACAAAGGACUAUUGUCUUCAAUCAAGUGAUACCAGACCCUCUUGAAAAGAGGACAAUCCCUGAAAAGGCUCUGAAUUUUCCUGAAGCUUUGGAAGGGGAAAGUAUUAUGUAUUUUCAUAGUAGAUGAAGCAAAACUGGAAAAAAAUACAUUUCAU